RNAcentral lists this long non-coding RNA (615 nucleotides) under Elaeis guineensis (African oil palm). Its description in RNAcentral is "long non-coding RNA (EGUI_LNC073522)". The record is from RNAcentral. Lineage: Eukaryota; Viridiplantae; Streptophyta; Magnoliopsida; Arecales; Arecaceae.
UCCACCUACUCUGAUUAAAAACUAGCAUUUAUUUAUAUAUUGAAAAGUUUGAGGUCAGAGAGGGGUUGAGCCUUGGUUACGUCCAGUCCUUCCCCAAUAUCUCCACCUACUUCUUGCUUGGUCGUGGCCUUAAAUAAAGCAAAAGGUUCCCAAUGUGGAAGGCGUGGCAAUGCCUACUUUCCGGUUAGUGGCAAUUAUGGGGCACUGAGAGGGUCGCAAUAGAAGGCAAAGGAGAAAGCCAACCACCACAAGAAUGCCCUCCAAAGCAAAAGAGCUGCUUCUGAACCAUCCUUCCUUUCAAUUUAAGCCUAAAAGGCUAUCCAUUUGGAAGAAGACUUGUUGCUCUCUUAUUGGUGGAAGCACCAUCUUUUUCCCGGAAAAUGGACACUUGGACCAAUGGUUAGGGAGAAAGAGUUUGUCUCACAUUUUUCCUCUGGCUUCCUUCUGGGAUGUGGAUGAAGAGGCUUCUUGAUAAUCUUGGAGUGGUGAUCGUCAGUUUUAUAUCAUGCUUUGUUCCAUCUCGAACAAGUCCGUGUCAUGUAAAUUGCUAUAAAGCUAAUAAAGUGAACUUUGUUUUUAUAUCAAAACCAACAGCAUCAAGUCUUUAGGACCACA